GACGAACGCUGGCGGCGUGCCUAAUACAUGCAAGUCGAACGCUUCUUUCCUCCCGAGUGCUUGCACUCAAUUGGAAAGAGGAGUGGCGGACGGGUGAGUAACACGUGGGUAACCUACCCAUCAGAGGGGGAUAACACUUGGAAACAGGUGCUAAUACCGCAUAACAGUUUAUGCCGCAUGGCAUAAGAGUGAAAGGCGCUUUCGGGUGUCGUUGAUGGAUGGACCCGCGGUGCAUUAGCUAGUUGGUGAGGUAACGGCUCACCAAGGCCACGAUGCAUAGCCGACCUGAGAGGGUGAUCGGCCACACUGGGACUGAGACACGGCCCAGACUCCUACGGGAGGCAGCAGUAGGGAAUCUUCGGCAAUGGACGAAAAUCUGACCGAGCAACGCCGCGUGAGUGAAGAAGGUUUUCGGAUCGUAAAACUCUGUUGUUAGAGAAGAACAAGGACGUUAGUAACUGAACGUCCCCUGACGGUAUCUAACCAGAAAGCCACGGCUAACUACGUG
RNAcentral lists this ribosomal RNA (508 nucleotides) under uncultured bacterium. Its description in RNAcentral is "partial 16S ribosomal RNA". It matches the Rfam family "Bacterial small subunit ribosomal RNA", at positions 28 to 507 of the family's 1533-position model. The record is from RNAcentral.